AGCUACGGCUAAAACAAAAGACAAUAUCGUUGUAUAUUACUUUUCCCUAUACCACCCAAAACGUACGCUAUAAGCUAGCUAUACAAUCCAAUGGGUUCACGCACCAUUCAUAAUAAAUGCAUGACGAAUGAACUUUCUUUGCUAGCAACCAUUUCCGCGACACCAAUUUUAUUCUCUCAAUUAUAUGAUUAACAUGAAUUUCCUUGGCUGAGCAAAUUUUCUCAUUACGUGCACGCCAAAUCAUCCAAAUCGUUGCGUGCCAUAUUAUCGAUAUCCCUUUAUGCCCCGAUUUCCCUUUCUUUUGGUGUAACAAAACUAUCAUAUAUAAGACGUAUUCUACCCAUUCUUGUAAAAGAAGUAUAGAUAUAUAGUACUCAAACCCAAAAGCUAUAGCUAAAACAAUAGACAAUGUUCAUAUCGUUGUAUAUUCCUUUUCCGUAUACCACUCAAAAAGUUAUCUAGCUAUACAAUCCAAUGGGUUCACACACCGUUAAUAAUAAAGGCAUGACAAAUGAACUUUCUUUGUUAGCAACCAUUUCCACAACACCGAUUUUUUCCUCACAAUUAUCUCAUUCACCUGAAUUUCCUUGGCCGAGAAAAUUUUCUCAUUUACGUGCACGCCAUAUCAUCCAAAUCGUUGUGUACCAUAUCAUCAAUAUCCCUUUAUGCCCCCGACUUCCCUUUCUUUAGGUGCAAGAAAACUAUCAAGGAGGGAAUGCAAGGUAAUCCACACUUCACAAUAGUGUCUAUUUCUCUUUGUUGUUAAUUUUGUUUUGUGUGGAGCGUGUCCCUGCACGACAAUGAAAGAAAUAUGAUUACACUAAGAAACAACUAUGCAAAUGCGUGAAACAUAUGAAAAGAUAUAAAGUAUGUGGAUUAAAAUUGAAUUUUCAAUUGUGGUGAGCUUUACAAAUGACUUUCUUGUGCACAAUAUUUCCUUGAUGAUAACGAUAGUGAUGGUCAAUAGCCAUUUUGUUGUGUUGUCAUUAUUAUUUCAUUGAAGACAAAUUUGACUGUAUGAAAUAGAAAAUUCGUGAGCUUGAAACCAUAUAAAAUUCAAUGUUGUUUUAUAUUUUAUAGAAUUAUUUCAAAA
This 1093-nucleotide long non-coding RNA is filed under the name Trifolium pratense (red clover). Its description in RNAcentral is "long non-coding RNA (TPRA_LNC006950)". Lineage: Eukaryota; Viridiplantae; Streptophyta; Magnoliopsida; Fabales; Fabaceae. The record is from RNAcentral.